UAAACAGACAAAACAUAAACCAUCUGCAAGAGCCAAAAACAACACAUAAGCUAACAUGAUAUUUGAAUAUUUCAGAUUAUUGCAUUAUCACAUCCAAUCAUUAGUGAAAUAAAAUUAUAACUUAUCAAGAUGAAAUCAUUGCUAGAAUCUCACAAAAGAAGUUAGAUCUCAAUGGAAAAGUAGACAUUAAACAGAGAGAGAGAGAGAGAG
RNAcentral lists this unclassified non-coding RNA (210 nucleotides) under Hevea brasiliensis (rubber tree). The record is from RNAcentral. Lineage: Eukaryota; Viridiplantae; Streptophyta; Magnoliopsida; Malpighiales; Euphorbiaceae.